Molecule: ribosomal RNA, 500 nt
Filed under: Candida albicans
Lineage: Eukaryota; Fungi; Ascomycota; Pichiomycetes; Serinales; Debaryomycetaceae
Description: eukaryotic LSU rRNA
Rfam family: 5.8S ribosomal RNA (bases 143-296)
Source: RNAcentral
GUGACGCUGAUGCUUAUUGCACCACAUGUGUUUUUCUUUGAAACAAACUUGCUUUGGCGGUGGGCCCAGCCUGCCGCCAGAGGUCUAAACUUACAACCAAUUUUUUAUCAACUUGUCACACCAGAUUAUUACUAAUAGUCAAAACUUUCAACAACGGAUCUCUUGGUUCUCGCAUCGAUGAAGAACGCAGCGAAAUGCGAUACGUAAUAUGAAUUGCAGAUAUUCGUGAAUCAUCGAAUCUUUGAACGCACAUUGCGCCCUCUGGUAUUCCGGAGGGCAUGCCUGUUUGAGCGUCGUUUCUCCCUCAAACCGCUGGGUUUGGUGUUGAGCAAUACGACUUGGGUUUGCUUGAAAGACGGUAGUGGUAAGGCGGGAUCGCUUUGACAAUGGCUUAGGUCUAACCAAAAACAUUGCUUGCGGCGGUAACGUCUACCACGUAUAUCUUCAAACUUUGACCUCAAAUCAGGUAGGACUACCCGCUGAACUUAAGCAUAUCAAAA